GGGUUGUGAGGUUAAGCGACUAAGCGUACACGGUGGAUGCCCUGGCAGUCAGAGGCGAUGAAGGACGUGCUAAUCUGCGAUAAGCGCCGGUAAGGUGAUAUGAACCGUUAUAACCGGCGAUUUCCGAAUGGGGAAACCCAGUGCGA
This 146-nucleotide ribosomal RNA is filed under the name Salmonella enterica subsp. enterica serovar Indiana. RNAcentral describes it as "partial 23S ribosomal RNA". It matches the Rfam family "Bacterial large subunit ribosomal RNA", at positions 1 to 136 of the family's 2925-position model. Lineage: Bacteria; Pseudomonadati; Pseudomonadota; Gammaproteobacteria; Enterobacterales; Enterobacteriaceae. The record is from RNAcentral.